RNAcentral lists this ribosomal RNA (423 nucleotides) under uncultured Glomeromycotina. RNAcentral's name for it is "SSU rRNA". It matches the Rfam family "Eukaryotic small subunit ribosomal RNA", at positions 671 to 1092 of the family's 1831-position model. Lineage: Eukaryota; Fungi; Glomeromycota. The record is from RNAcentral.
UGGUAUGCACUGGCUUCGCUGAUUCCUCCUUUCUGAAGAACCGUAAUGCCAUUAAUUUGGUGUUGCAGGGAAACAGGACUGUUACUUUGAAAAAAUUAGAGUGUUUAAAGCAGGCUAAGGCUUGAAUACAUUAGCAUGGAAUAAUGAAAUAGGACGUUCGAUCCUAUUUUGUUGGUUUCUAGGAUUGACGUAAUGAUUAAUAGGGAUAGUUGGGGGCAUUAGUAUUCAAUUGUCAGAGGUGAAAUUCUUGGAUUUAUUGAAGACUAACUACUGCGAAAGCAUUUGCCAAGGAUGUUUUCAUUAAUCAAGAACGAAAGUUAGGGGAUCGAAGACGAUCAGAUACCGUCGUAGUCUUAACCAUAAACUAUGCCGACUAGGGAUCGGAUGAUGUUAAUUUUUUAAUGACUCAUUCGGCGCCUUACG